Molecule: microRNA precursor, 171 nt
Filed under: Oryza rufipogon (brownbeard rice)
Lineage: Eukaryota; Viridiplantae; Streptophyta; Magnoliopsida; Poales; Poaceae
Description: MIR812 microRNA precursor family
Rfam family: MIR812 microRNA precursor family
Source: Rfam by way of RNAcentral
AAUAAGCGCAGCCAUAAGUUUUCAUAUCCAACUUUGAUCGUCCAUCUUAUUUAAUUUUUUUUAUGAUUACUAUUUUUUUAUUAGAUUGUAAAACAUGAAUAAUACUUUAUGCGUUACUUAUGUUUUUUUAGUUUUUUUAAAAAAAAUAAAAUAAGAUGAACGAUGCGUUCA